GCAUAUCAUAAGCGGAGGAAAAGAAACCAACAGGGAUUGCCUAGUAACGGCGAGUGAAGCGGCAACAGCUCAAAUUUGAAAGCUGGCUCCGGCCCGCAUUGUAAUUUGCAGAGGAUGCUUCUGGCAAGGUGCCUUCCGAGUUCCCUGGAACGGGACGCCACAGAGGGUGAGAGCCCCGUAUGGAUGGACACCAAGCCUGUGUGAAGCUCCUUCAACGAGUCGAGUAGUUUGGGAAUGCUGCUCAAAAUGGGAGGUAAAUCUCUUCUAAAGCUAAAUACCGGCCAGAGACCGAUAGCGCACAAGUAGAGUGAUCGAAAGAUGAAAAGCACCUUGAAAAGGGGGUUAAACAGUACGUGAAAUUGUUGAAAGGGAAGCGCUUGUGACCAGACUUGCGCCGGGCGGCUCAUCAGGGGUUCUCCCCUGUGCACUCCGCCCGGCUCAGGCCAGCAUCGGUUCUCGUGGGAGGAUAAGAACGGUGGGAACGUGGCCCCCCUUCGGGGGGGUGUUAUAGCCCACCGUACGAUACUCUCGUGGGGACCGAGGUUCGCGCUCCGCAAGGAUGCUGGCGUAAUGGUCAUCAGCGACCCGUCUUGAAACACGGACCAAGGAGUCGUCCAUUAGAGCGAGCGUUUGGGUGUAAAACCCGCACGCGUAAUGAAAGUGAACGCAGGUGAGAGCUUCGGCGCAUCAUCGACCGAUCCUGAUGUCUUCGGAUGGAUUUGAGUAAGAGUUUUAACGGACGGACCCGAAAGACAGUGAACUAUGCUUGUAUAGGGUGAAGCCAGAGGAAACUCUGGUGGAGGCUCGCAGCGGUUCUGACGUGCAAAUCGAUCGUCAAAUAUGAGCAUGGGGGCGAAAGACUAAUCGAACUGUCUAGUAGCUGGUUACCGCCGAAG
RNAcentral lists this ribosomal RNA (896 nucleotides) under Cytospora desmazieri. RNAcentral describes it as "LSU rRNA". It matches the Rfam family "Eukaryotic large subunit ribosomal RNA", at positions 38 to 966 of the family's 3401-position model. The record is from RNAcentral. Lineage: Eukaryota; Fungi; Ascomycota; Sordariomycetes; Diaporthales; Cytosporaceae.